UAUCAAUAAGCGGAGGAAAAGAAACUAACAAGGAUUCCCCUAGUAACUGCGAGUGAAGCGGGAAAAGCUCAAAUUUAAAAUCUGGCGGUCUCUGGCCGUCCGAGUUGUAAUCUAGAGAAGUAAUGCCCGUGCUGGACCGUGUAUAAGUCUCCUGGGAUGGAGCGUCAUAGAGGGUGAGAAUCCCGUCUUUGACACGGACUACCAGUGCAUUGUGGUAUGCUCUCAAAGAGUCGAGUUGUUUGGGAAUGCAGCUCAAAAUGGGUGGUAAAUUCCAUCUAAAGCUAAAUAUUGGCGAGAGACCGAUAGCGAACAAGUACCGUGAGGGAAAGAUGAAAAGAACUUUGGAAAGAGAGUUAAACAGUACGUGAAAUUGCUGAAAGGGAAACGCUUGAAGUCAGUCGCGUUGGCCGGGGAUCAGCCUUGCUUUUGCAUGGUGUACUUUCUGGUUGACGGGUCAGCAUCAAUUUUGACCACUGGAAAAAGACCUGGGGAAUGUGGCAGCUUCGGCUGUGUUAUAGCCCUUAGUCGCAUACAGUGGUUGGGAUUGAGGAACUCAGCACGCCGCAAGGCCGGGUUUCGACCACGUUCGUGCUUAGGAUGCUGGCAUAAUGGCUUUAAGCGACCCGUCUUGAAACACGGACCAAGGAGUCUAACAUGCCUGCGAGUAUUUGGGUGGAAAACCCAAGUGCGUAAUGAAAGUGAAAGUUGAGAUCCCUGUCGUGGGGAGCAUCGACGCCCGGACCAGAACUUUUGGGACGGAUCCGCGGUGGAGCAUGUAUGUUGGGACCCGAAAGAUGGUGAACUAUGCCUGAAUAGGGUGAAGCCAGAGGAAACUCUGGUGGAGGCUCGUAGCGAUUCUGACGUGCAAAUCGAUCGUCAAAUUUGGGUAUAGGGGCGAAAGACUAAUCGAACCAUCUAGUAGCUGGUC
This 928-nucleotide ribosomal RNA is filed under the name Agaricus augustus. RNAcentral's name for it is "LSU rRNA". It matches the Rfam family "Eukaryotic large subunit ribosomal RNA", at positions 41 to 956 of the family's 3401-position model. The record is from RNAcentral. Lineage: Eukaryota; Fungi; Basidiomycota; Agaricomycetes; Agaricales; Agaricaceae.